This 251-nucleotide ribosomal RNA is filed under the name Klebsiella quasipneumoniae. RNAcentral's name for it is "partial 23S ribosomal RNA". It matches the Rfam family "Bacterial large subunit ribosomal RNA", at positions 685 to 934 of the family's 2925-position model. The record is from RNAcentral. Lineage: Bacteria; Pseudomonadati; Pseudomonadota; Gammaproteobacteria; Enterobacterales; Enterobacteriaceae.
GAAUAGGGCGAUAGAGUAUGUGGUCGUAGACCCGAAACCAGGUGAUCUACCCAUGUCCAGGGUGAAGUCCAGGUAACACUGGAUGGAGGCCCGAACCCACGCACGUUGAAAAGUGCGGGGAUGAGGUGUGGGUAGCGGAGAAAUUCCAAUCGAACUUGGAGAUAGCUGGUUCUCUCCGAAAUAGCUUUAGGGCUAGCCUCAAGGUAAGAGUAUUGGAGGUAGAGCACUGUUUGGACUAGGGGCCCCCAUCG